RNAcentral lists this ribosomal RNA (403 nucleotides) under Fusobacteriota bacterium. Its description in RNAcentral is "Fusobacteria bacterium partial 16S ribosomal RNA". It matches the Rfam family "Bacterial small subunit ribosomal RNA", at positions 355 to 776 of the family's 1533-position model. Lineage: Bacteria; Fusobacteriati; Fusobacteriota. The record is from RNAcentral.
UGGGGAAUUUUGCACAAUGGAGGAAACUCUGAUGCAGCGACGCCGCGUGAGUGAUGAAGAUCUUCGGAUUGUAAAACUCUGUCCUUAGUGAAGAUAAUGACAGUAAAUAAGAAGCAAGCCCUGGCUAAAUACGUGCCAGCAGCCGCGGUAAUACGUAUGGGGCAAGCGUUGUCCGGAAUUAUUGGGCGUAAAGGGUACGUAGGCGGUUUAAUAAGUCCUAAUUAAAAGGCUAUGGCUCAACCAUAGUAUGGUUAGGAAACUGUUGAACUUGAGUAGAUGAGGGGAAAGUGGAAUUCCAUGUGUAGCGGUGAAAUGCGUAGAUAUAUGGAGGAACACCAAUGGCGAAGGCAACUUUCUGGAAUCAAACUGACGCUGAGGUACGAAGGCGUGGGGAGCAAACAGG